Molecule: ribosomal RNA, 434 nt
Filed under: uncultured Lachnospiraceae bacterium
Lineage: Bacteria; Bacillati; Bacillota; Clostridia; Lachnospirales; Lachnospiraceae
Description: partial 16S ribosomal RNA
Rfam family: Bacterial small subunit ribosomal RNA
Source: RNAcentral
ACGGAAGGCAGCAGUGGGGGAUAUUGCACAAUGGGGGAAACCCUGAUGCAGCGACGCCGCGUGAGUGAAGAAGUAUUUCGGUAUGUAAAGCUCUUUAAGCUGGAAAGAUAAUGACGGUACCAGCAGAAUAAGCCCCGGCUAACUACGUGCCAGCAGCCGCGGUAAUACGUAGGGGGCAAGCGUUAUCCGGAUUUACUGGGUGUAAAGGGCGUGUAGGCGGGACAGCAAGUCAGAUGUGAAAGCACGAGGCUCAACUUCGUGUCUGCAUUUGAAACUGCUGUUCUUGAGUGCUGGAGAGGCUAACGGAACUCCUAGUGUAGCGGUGAAAUGCGUAGAUAUUAGGAAGAACACCAGUGGCGAAGGCGGUUAGCUGGACAGUAACUGACGCUGAGGCGCGAAAGCGUGGGUAGCAAACAGGAUUAGAUACCCUGGUA